GAUGAAGAACGCAGCAAAAUGCGAUACUUGGUGUGAAUUGCAGAAUCCCGUGAACCAUCGAGUUUUUGAACGCAAGUUGCGCCCGAAGCCUUUUGGCCGAGGGCACGUCUACCUGGGCGUCACGCAUCGCGUCGCCCCCCACAAUUCUCCGUAAAGGGAACAUGUGUUUUGGGGGCGGAUAUUGGUCUCCCGUGCUCAUGGCGUGGUUGGCCGAAAUAGGAGUCCUUUCGAUGGACGCACGAACUAGUGGUGGUCGUAAAAUCCCUCGUCUUUUGUUUCGUGCUGUUGCUCGCAAGGUAAACUCUUUAAAAACCCCAAUGUGUCGUCUCUUGACGACGCUUCGACCGCGACCCCAGGUCAGGCGGGACUACCCGCUGAGUUUAAGCAUAUCAAUAAGCGGAGGA
This 404-nucleotide unclassified non-coding RNA is filed under the name soil metagenome. RNAcentral describes it as "partial contains 5.8S ribosomal RNA, internal transcribed spacer 2, and large subunit ribosomal RNA". The stretch from base 1 to 122 matches the Rfam family "5.8S ribosomal RNA", at positions 35 to 154 of the family's 154-position model. The record is from RNAcentral.